CGUAAUAAUAGAAACUAACCAGGAUUCCCUUAGUAACGGCGAGUGAACUGGGAUACCAAUAUAAAAUAUGCACUCUGUGCAUAAUUUAGCCCGUCGAUACUAUCCUAGCAUAUCACCGGUCUCGGCCGGUAACCAAAUAUGCGGGAAUUGUAGCAUCGUAACAACACAAAAAAUAUAUACGCACACACACACACACACACACACACAUAUGCCUCACGCCUCAUAGCACGUACUGACAUAUCUUGUAAACACACAGCGUCUCCGCGUUGGAAAGCAAGUAUAUAUCCUCUUUGGAUAUGCCAUAGAGUGUGACAGCCACGUUUGAAUCACUCAUAUAUGCAGUAUACGCACUCACACACACAUAUCUUGCGGCGCGGCGUGUCGUGUCGUGCACACACAUUAUAUAUUUAUAUAACCUGAGUCGAGUUAUUU
This 432-nucleotide ribosomal RNA is filed under the name Ammonia inflata. Its description in RNAcentral is "partial large subunit ribosomal RNA". The record is from RNAcentral. Lineage: Eukaryota; Foraminifera; Rotaliida; Rotaliidae.